RNAcentral lists this small nucleolar RNA (128 nucleotides) under Carlito syrichta (Philippine tarsier). Its description in RNAcentral is "Small nucleolar RNA SNORA28 (ENSTSYG00000024169.2)". It matches the Rfam family "Small nucleolar RNA SNORA28". From Rfam's summary of the family: ACA28 is a member of the H/ACA class of snoRNA that guide the sites of modification of uridines to pseudouridines. The record is from Rfam by way of RNAcentral. Lineage: Eukaryota; Metazoa; Chordata; Mammalia; Primates; Tarsiidae.
AAGGGACAUCUAUCUCAGGAAAGGAAAAUGUUUUAAGUUAAAUAAUAGGACUUGCUAUAGCAAGGAAGUCGAACCUAUUCUUAUGUCUUCAUUUCCAUGAGACAAGUCAUUAUAUAGACUUAAACAGU